This 411-nucleotide ribosomal RNA is filed under the name Triticum aestivum (bread wheat). Its description in RNAcentral is "partial small subunit ribosomal RNA". Lineage: Eukaryota; Viridiplantae; Streptophyta; Magnoliopsida; Poales; Poaceae. The record is from RNAcentral.
AAGGCCUCCAUCACUUGCAACUGGAUGAGAUCCAAUGUCACCAGUGAUACAUUAGCAGAAUUUGUUAAGUCUGGAUAUCUGCCCAAGAAAGACGUCAUGUCCUACCGUGCCCCUGACCCGUCAGAAGAGAGACCACAGCCAAAGGAUGGGGAGGUAGUGAUUUUUGCGGAUCACAUGAGCCGGGGCUUCGCACCGCCCGGCUCAAAGUUUUUUAGAGACGUUCUAAGCUUCUUCGAUUUGCGGCCUCAAGAUAUAGGACCCAACUUAGUGUCCAACAUCUGCAACUUCCAAGUAUUCUGCGAGGUUUACCUUGGAGAAGAACCUAGUCUGCUGCUCUUCAGAGAGCUUUUUUACUUGAACCGUCAGAAUGAGUGCGCCAAUGGGCCAAGUCUGGAGUUAGGUGGCAUCUCC